This 71-nucleotide transfer RNA is filed under the name bacterium. RNAcentral describes it as "tRNA-Gln". It matches the Rfam family "tRNA". Rfam says of the family: Transfer RNA (tRNA) molecules are approximately 80 nucleotides in length. Their secondary structure includes four short double-helical elements and three loops (D, anti-codon, and T loops). Further hydrogen bonds mediate the characteristic L-shaped molecular structure. tRNAs have two regions of fundamental functional importance: the anti-codon, which is responsible for specific mRNA codon recognition, and the 3' end, to which the tRNAs corresponding amino acid is attached (by aminoacyl-tRNA synthetases). tRNAs cope with the degeneracy of the genetic code in two manners: having more than one tRNA (with a specific anti-codon) for a particular amino acid; and 'wobble' base-pairing, i.e. permitting non-standard base-pairing at the 3rd anti-codon position. RNAcentral also lists the same sequence under 4 other names. The record is from RNAcentral.
UGCCAGAUCGUCUAAUGGUAGGACAACGGACUCUGAAUCCGUUUAUCUUGGUUCGAAUCCAAGUCUGGCAG